This 329-nucleotide unclassified non-coding RNA is filed under the name soil metagenome. RNAcentral's name for it is "partial contains 5.8S ribosomal RNA, internal transcribed spacer 2, and large subunit ribosomal RNA". The stretch from base 1 to 120 matches the Rfam family "5.8S ribosomal RNA", at positions 35 to 154 of the family's 154-position model. The record is from RNAcentral.
GAUGAAGAACGUAGUGAAAUGCGAUAAGUAGUGUGAAUUGCAGAAUUCAGUGAAUCAUCGAAUCUUUGAACGCACAUUGUGCCCCUUGGUAUCCCGAGGGGCAUGCCUGUUCGAGCGUCAUUUCACCACUCAAGCCUGGCUUGGUGUUGGGCGACGUCCUCUUUGGGGACGCGCCUCGAAACGCUCGGCGGCGUGGCACCGGCUUUAAGCGUAGCAGAAUCUUUCGCUUUGGAAGUCGGGGCCCCGUCUGCCGGAAGACCUGCUCGCAAGGUUGACCUCGGAUCAGGCAGGGAUACCCGCUGAACUUAAGCAUAUCAAUAAGCGGAGGA